UGUUGCUAACACUUAUGGAAUACCACAAUUCUGAUGAUAUUUCCCCCCAGUGAAUUCUGUCAACACAAUUGGGCCAGGACGUGAGAUGUGGUUGAGGAGGCGCGGAGCUCACGGAAAUGAGAUGCCCCCAGGAAGACGGAGCUGAACGAAUACUUUGGGGCUCUGUGUCGAACCGAGAAGGACGCAAAAGGCCCAGUGAGUGCACACAGGGGGAGAAAUCUCAACACUUCCAGAGCGGAGUUCUCGAGAGUCAGAGGAAACUAUCUCGGUGCCCAGAAAGCUCGCUCCUAAUUGUUGGUCCUAUGACAGUAUAAUAACACAGCACCGUUGUUGAAGCAGAUCCUGUUACCCUCAACUUCUAGAUGUGGAAGUGGAGCCUCAGAGGUCAGGUAGCUUUCUACGGUCACGUAGCAAAUAGCCGCAGAGAAGCAGACCUGUGGAAUGACAAAGCCCACACUCUGAGGGACACUUGGGGUAAGCCCCUUCCAAUCACCCGUCUUGUGAAUCUGUGAAUGUGACUGAGAAUGUGGCACAGAAGGACACAUUAAAUUAAGUAUCGGUGAGCCCUCAUUAGGGGUUAUGGUUGUCGGAUAAGAGAUAUUUUCCCGAGGCUAGCUUUUAAAAUAGAAUAAAAAUGCAUCUCUUGGGAAAGAUGUCAAUAGUAGAAGUCAUGAAGGUAGGCCAAGAAAGCGAACUGUUAAUCCUAUGCUCACCCUUGCAGAAAUCGUACCCAGGCAUCACGCUGUCCCCACAAUAUGUUUCCUACCACUGGACACAGGGUACUAAGAUGAGCCAGGAGGGGCGUGAUCAGGGCCACCACCCUGUGCCCCGACUCUGCCUAUUCAGCUCUGCUUACCUGAGGACUGUGGUCUUUUCAUCCCCUCUUAGGACAAAACCGGUAUUGAUAUUUAACAUCUCUGGAACGUUCCUGCCUUUCUUUACAUUUUUUUCCACAGGUCCUAUUUUUUCCUGGAACGAUUUUGAGUUUUUCAGAGACGGGGCAACUGGGACUUUGGGUCUUAAUUUAUGGCCCUCCGUGGGAGGCAUACGACCUUGUGUUCAAAAGGCAGUUUCUUCUCUUCCCACAGCUGAAUUAAAACACGGAGGGCAUCUCUGGAUCUGUUAGCAUCCUUCUUUAUUAAUCAUUAAUUCAAAAAACUCAGGCCUAAGACUCUCUCCUCCUCAGUUCCAGAGGGGCCGGGCCACUGCCCUUGUCUGCCCAAAAGCAACACCACCCCAGGGGCCUGGAGGACAGAUCAUGGAACCAAGGAAGAUAGUUCUUGAGCCUUAAAAUCUAAUGGGCUUUGCCCUGCUAAGUUCUGGACUUAGUUGGGACUCAUGACCUAUUUCUUCUUGCUGAUUUUUCCCAUUUAGAACAGAAAUGUCUCUCUUAUGCCUGUCCCCCAUUGUAUUUUGGAAGCACGUAAUUUAUUGUCUGGUUCCACGGGUUCACGGAGAAAGAGGAAUUUUACCCCAGGAUGAAUUGUGUCUGGAUUCUCACCCACAGAAUGAGAUUCAGAUGAGAUUCAUGGACUUAGAGCUGUUAAUGCUAGAAUGGGCUGACUUUUUGGGUUAUCAGGAUGGGGUGGAUGUAUGUUGCAUGUGAGAAAGACAUGAGUUUUGAGGGGCUGGAGAGUGGAGUGUUAUGGGCUGCAUUGGGCCCCCCCCCAAAAAAAUUCAUAAGUUGACGUCUUAACCCCCAAUACCUCAGGAUGUGCAUGUAUUGGGGAUAUAAGAUGUUUUAAAAGAUGAUUUUGUUAAAAUGAGACCAUUAGGGUGGGCCCUAACCCGACAUUGUGGGUGUCCCUUUAAGAAGGGGAAAUUUGGACACAGACACACAGAAAGCCAUGCGAAGACACAGAGAGAAGACUGCCAUCUACAAGUCAGGACAAGGCCUCAGAAGACAGCAACUCUGCCAAAACCUUGAUCACAAGCUUCCAGAACUGUGAGGGAAUAGAUUUCUGUUGUUUAAGCACCCCCCGUCUGUGGUACUUUGUUAUGGCUGCCGGAGCAAGCUAAUACACUAUGUUUCCAACGUUGCAAGCCAACAUUAAUUUUGGUUUUGUUAUUUUUAUUGUCUUUGGCUGCCAUAAAACACUGCAGACUCAUACUAGGGACCUAACCCCCCCCCCCAGAACUUCCUAUAUGAUGUGUCUGUGCUGUAGAAUAAAGAAUUCGGCCUUUGUCCUUGGUGUCUAGGAGACAGCCUCUAAAUCUUAGAAUUUCUUGAGUAGACAGAAGUGUCUUCUUGUUCAUGGUGGGCCCCCCCCACCACCACACCUGAGCUGGUGCUAAUGAGGCGACUCAGGAUGGGACUGUUCGUGCCAGAAAGACCAAUCACACGAUUAGAAGGUUGGGAACUUGCAUCACCAGGACUUCCCGUGGGAGGAGGCCAGAGACUGAAUGCGAUCUUGUGGCCAAUGCCUCCAUCAAUCAUGCCAAUAAGGAGAUCUCACUGAAAACUUCGAACAUUAUGAAAUCUCUGCACACUGAGGCCUGGGAAGGUGUGGGUGCAACAGGGGUUGAGUGACCGUCCAUAAGGACAGUGCAGAAGGACCGUCAGAUCUGCUCAGCUUGCUUAGCUAUGGAUGUUCGGCGAAUCCCAUAAGGCUUAUAACCGUACAGGAGCAAAGAGGGCACCAGGCUGUGACCGGCCUGAGGCUGCACCCGACCCAGGCCACCUUCCCGUUGGCCACAAUGCAGGAUUGUCAGGCGUGAGAGUCAAGACGGUGUCUGAUGGGCGAUUGCAGGUUACGAUGCUGGUGGGUAACCCAAGCGAGCUCGCCUGACUAUCUGAGUGCGUGCUGCCUUCCAGAAACCAGCCAGACCGCCUAACAUUAAAGGUGCCGUUCUCUUAAGGUGCCAUCCGACAACACGGCACCUCCACUCCUCAACAGCAACUCUGCUGGUUGUAUUUGUAGGCAGCCCCAUUUCACAGAUCAGAAAACUGAGGCUCAGAGAGCCACUGUGCUGCCUGCAGCCACACAGGUGUUCACUGCCACAAAGCUGAGGCCGGAAGCGGCUUCUGGCUGACCCCAGAGUCCACAUUCUGUCCGACGCACUUUUCUGUCUUCUCCGCACCACAUAGGCCACACCUCUCCCACUUCUGGUUCAAAUGUGGGGCAAUUCCGUCCCUCAGGGAAGUAACACCCUGCACCGUGGGAGCCACACGCAGGACGUUUAGCAACCUGUGGGCAUUCGUCUUAGACGCUGCCUGCCUGACAUAAUGUCCACCUGGGCAGAGAGCAGAAGGUUAUGUUCGCCAGAAAAAAAGAAUAAAGGCCCCUGAUGGCUCCUCUCCAUUUCCACUGAGUGUUGUUGUGCCCCCCGUGGGGACGUGUGGCCUGGUUCGAGGCUUCGGAGCGGGAGAUCGGCCUCUUCAAUCUUCUCUGCAAGCCAGGCCAUGCCAGGGACCCAGCUGGCCAGGCCACAGCUCUGAUACCCUCACGUACCUGACCGCCUCUCAUCAGCAAGCCUGUGGAGGAUGACCCCCGCCGGCUCUGAAGUGACCCGUCUCCCCACAGUGGAUCUGCGAGAGACAGCACUCACCACGUCCUCGGAGAAGAGGCCCACGAAAGCCAAAGUGCCCAGGGCCCGUGAAAGUCAUAGCAGCCCGGCUCAGAGGUGACCUCCCCAGUCGUUUCUGCCACUCUGCUGCCCACAUCACUGGCAACUUUCAGAAUAGCCUCAGAAGAGGACGGCGUUAUACAGAUGACCAGAGAAGCUAAGUGAUUCUAAGUCCUGGGGUUGGAGGAGGCAGCCUGGCUAAUGUGGCAGAUUGCUAGAGCAAGUGAGUCUCGGGGCUAUGGGAUGAGGUCUGGUCUGCACGAUGUAUCUCCUGGGUGGAGGUUGGAAGAAGACCAGGGGUUUGCGAUAUCCUCAGGUGAUUAUAAGUCAAGGUUUUACGAUUUGAAUAAUGCAUUAAAUAUACCGGUGAACUGGCUUCUUCCCAGAAUUCAGGGAUGAUUCUUUUGCAAGUUCAGGUGCUCAUAACCUUGCCUAUAUCUACAGGUUUUUAUCAACUUGGAUUUUAGUAUAUCCCAUUUUCUCUAAACAGAACAUAAGCUAUUUGUUAGUGUCUUGAGUUCAGCUCUGGACUCUAACCUACAACAGCAAUAUAAAGUAGGAGAACGAGGUUCACGAAAAUUAAAAACAAAACAAAAUAAAACUGUCUCAGGGAUGGAAACUGAAGCCUUUGAGGAAAAGCUGAUAGAAUUGUUUUAAGUAACAAAGCAAAAAAAAAAAAAAAAAAAAGCUAGCAUCCUGUACUUGGGAAGGAUAAUAACGUUCCAGAAUGUUCCCUGGAAGCUAUCUUGUCCUUAAGUUGUUUGUCCACAUGGGGCACAGAUUCAAUUGAGAACGACCUAUGCUGUGGUAUUAAAAACACUGUUACUUGAAGGAUAGAAUACCCUCUCAGACUAUCUGAUUCAUUGAUUCAUUCAACAAAUUUUACUGGUCCCUUACAAACUGUCAGGCACUCUAGAAGAAGGCACACUAGUCCCCGCCCUUCUAGAGAUUACAUUCCAGAGGGGAGACAGAAGCAGAUAUAGCCAGGCUGGUCAUUGAGACGACACCUCAUACGCGUGGCCUCGAUUAGCCACUAGCUAGAGACUGAUCCAAAAAUCCAUUCUGAGGGGCUCUGGGCUGUCAAGAAGGGUGAUGGACAGAUGGCUUUACCUGCAGGCAAGGGAAACAGAUUCUUUUCCCCACUUUGUGAUAUUUGCUGCCUGGCACAUAGUAUGUGCUACUAUUAUAACUCCUUUUUUUCCAAUGUUUAUUUAUUUUUUUUAAUUUUUUUUUUAACAU
Long non-coding RNA from Felis catus (domestic cat), 4806 nucleotides. RefSeq lists it as uncharacterized. The transcript has 3 exons. NCBI's taxonomy places the organism in Eukaryota, Metazoa, Chordata, Mammalia, Carnivora, Felidae. The record is from RefSeq and is a predicted model, not a curated record.